Molecule: long non-coding RNA, 477 nt
Organism: Oncorhynchus tshawytscha (Chinook salmon)
Lineage: Eukaryota; Metazoa; Chordata; Actinopteri; Salmoniformes; Salmonidae
Source: Ensembl
GUUGAGCCACGGGACAGGGUAUGGGGUAAGUUGAGCCACGGGACAGGGUAUGGGGUAAGUUGAGCCAUGGGACAGGGUAUGGGGUAAGUUGAGCCACGGGACAGGGUAUGGGGUAGGUUGAGCCAUGGGACAGGGUAUGGGGUAAGUUGAGCCAUGGGACAGGGUAUGAGGUAAGUUGAGACACGGGACUGGGUAUGGAGUAAGUUGAGCCGCGGGACAGGGUAUGGGGUAAGUUGAGACACGGGACAGGGUAUGAGGUAAGUUGAGCCAUGGGACAGGGUAUGGGGUAAGUUGAGCCAUGGGACAGGGUAUGAGGUAAGUUGAGACACGGGACAGUUGAGACACGGGACAGGGUAUGGGGUAAGUUGAGCCGCGGGACAGGGUAUGGGGUAAGUUGAGCCGCGGGACAGGGUAUGGGGUAAGUUGAGACACGGGACUGGGUAUGGGGUAAGUUGAGACACGGGACAGGGUAUGGGG